UCAGAACAAUUUCAUAGGAUCUAAUUAGCUUGAGAAAAACGUUCACUCUUACUUAUACGAAGCUUGGAUAAGGUUGUGAAUAAAUAAAUGGAGCUUGAAAUUGAGGACGUUGGAA
This is a non-coding RNA of Arachis ipaensis, 115 nucleotides long. NCBI's taxonomy places the organism in Eukaryota, Viridiplantae, Streptophyta, Magnoliopsida, Fabales, Fabaceae. The record is from RefSeq and is a predicted model, not a curated record.